AGCUCCAAAAGUGUAUAUUUAAGUUGUUGCGGUUGAAAAGCUCGUAGUUGGAUUUUGGGACGGCGCGUUCGGUCGGACGCAAGUCUUGUACUGGACGCGUUAUCCUCACAUGACCGGUGCCUCUAAGGUGCUCUUAACUGAAGUGUCUGUGCGGUCCGGGAAGUUUACCUUGAAAAAAUUAGAGUGUUCAAAGCAGGCUUUAAAGCUUGAAUAAUGUUGCAUGGAAUAAUGGAAUAGGACCUCGGUUCUAUUUUGUUGGUUUCUUGAACGCGAGGUAAUGAUUAAGAGGAACGGACGGGGGCAUCCGUACUGUGCCGUUAGAGGUGAAAUUCUUGGAUCGGCGCAAGACGAACAACUGCGAAAGCAUUUGCCAAGAAUGUUUUCU
Molecule: ribosomal RNA, 385 nt
Filed under: uncultured eukaryote
Lineage: Eukaryota
Description: SSU rRNA
Rfam family: Eukaryotic small subunit ribosomal RNA
Source: RNAcentral